This 368-nucleotide ribosomal RNA is filed under the name uncultured bacterium. RNAcentral's name for it is "bacterial SSU rRNA". It matches the Rfam family "Bacterial small subunit ribosomal RNA", at positions 29 to 421 of the family's 1533-position model. The record is from RNAcentral.
AACGAACGCUGGCGGCAGGCUUAACACAUGCAAGUCGAACGGGCGUAGCAAUACGUCAGUGGCAGACGGGUGAGUAACACGUGGGAACGUGCCUUUUGGUUCGGAACAACUCAGGGAAACUUGAGCUAAUACCGGAUGUGCCCUUCGGGGAAAGGAUUUAUCGCCAUUAGAGCGGCCCGCGUCUGAUUAGCUAGUUGGUGAGGUAAGGGCGUCACCAAGGCUUCGAUCAGUAGCUGGUCUGAGAGGAUGAUCAGCCACACCGGGACUGAGACACGGCCCAGACUCCUACGGGAGGCAGCAGUGGGGAAUCUUGCGCAAUGGGCGAAAGCCUGACGCAGCCAUGCCGCGUGAAUGAUGAAGGUCUUAGG